UGGGGAAUAUUGCACAAUGGGCGCAAGCCUGAUGCAGCCAUGCCGCGUGUAUGAAGAAGGCCUUCGGGUUGUAAAGUACUUUCAGCGGGGAGGAAGGGAGUAAAGUUAAUACCUUUGCUCAUUGACGUUACCCGCAGAAGAAGCACCGGCUAACUCCGUGCCAGCAGCCGCGGUAAUACGGAGGGUGCAAGCGUUAAUCGGAAUUACUGGGCGUAAAGCGCACGCAGGCGGUCUGUCAAGUCGGAUGUGAACUCCCCGGGCUCAACCUGGGAACUGCAUUCGAAACUGGCAGGCUAGAGUCUUGUAGAGGGGGGUAGAAUUCCAGGUGUAGCGGUGAAAUGCGUAGAGAUCUGGAGGAAUACCGGUGGCGAAGGCGGCCCCCUGGACAAAGACUGACGCUCAGGUGCGAAAGCGUGGGGAGCAAACAGG
RNAcentral lists this ribosomal RNA (429 nucleotides) under Chloroflexota bacterium. RNAcentral describes it as "Chloroflexi bacterium partial 16S ribosomal RNA". It matches the Rfam family "Bacterial small subunit ribosomal RNA", at positions 355 to 776 of the family's 1533-position model. Lineage: Bacteria; Bacillati; Chloroflexota. The record is from RNAcentral.